This 253-nucleotide ribosomal RNA is filed under the name uncultured bacterium. RNAcentral describes it as "partial 16S ribosomal RNA". It matches the Rfam family "Bacterial small subunit ribosomal RNA", at positions 524 to 776 of the family's 1533-position model. The record is from RNAcentral.
UACGUAGGUGACAAGCGUUGUCCGGAUUUACUGGGUGUAAAGGGCGCGUAGGCGGGAUAGCAAGUCAGUCGUGAAAUGCCGAGGCUUAACCUCGGAGCUGCGAUUGAAACUGUUAUUCUUGAGUAUCGGAGAGGAAAGCGGAAUUCCUAGUGUAGCGGUGAAAUGCGUAGAUAUUAGGAAGAACACCAGUGGCGAAGGCGGCUUUCUGGACGACAACUGACGCUGAGGCGCGAAAGUGUGGGGAGCAAACAGG